Molecule: transfer RNA, 76 nt
Filed under: Candidatus Pelagibacterales bacterium
Lineage: Bacteria; Pseudomonadati; Pseudomonadota; Alphaproteobacteria; Candidatus Pelagibacterales
Description: tRNA-Phe
Rfam family: tRNA
About the family: Transfer RNA (tRNA) molecules are approximately 80 nucleotides in length.
Source: RNAcentral
GGGCCUUUGGUAUAGCUGGUGCGUACGAGCGACUGAAAAUCGCUAAGACCAAGUUCGAUUCUUGGAGGGCCCACCA